This 253-nucleotide ribosomal RNA is filed under the name uncultured bacterium. RNAcentral's name for it is "partial 16S ribosomal RNA". It matches the Rfam family "Bacterial small subunit ribosomal RNA", at positions 524 to 776 of the family's 1533-position model. The record is from RNAcentral.
UACAGAGGUGGCAAGCGUUGUUCGGAAUUACUGGGCGUAAAGGGCGCGUAGGCGGCCCGCUAAGUCGAACGUGAAAUCCCCAGGCUCAACCUGGGAACUGCGUCCGAUACUGGCAGGCUUGAAUCCGGGAGAGGGAUGUGGAAUUCCAGGUGUAGCGGUGAAAUGCGUAGAUAUCUGGAGGAACACCGGUGGCGAAGGCGGCAUCCUGGACCGGCAUUGACGCUGAGGCGCGAAAGCUAGGGGAGCAAACGGG